UAAGGGAUAUUGGUCAAUGGACGCAAGUCUGAACCAGCCAUGCCGCGUGAAGGAUGAAGGUCCUCUGGAUUGUAAACUUCUUUUAUCUGGGACGAAAACGGGAUUUUUAUCUCAAUUGACGGUACCAGAGGAAUAAGCACCGGCUAACUCCGUGCCAGCAGCCGCGGUAAUACGGAGGGUGCGAGCGUUAUCCGGAUUUACUGGGUUUAAAGGGUGCGUAGGUGGGCUUAUAAGUCAGUGGUGAAAUCUCCGAGCUUAACUUGGAAACUGCCGUUGAUACUAUAGGUCGUGAAUUAUCUGGAGGUAAGCGGAAUAUGUCAUGUAGCGGUGAAAUGCUUAGAUAUGACAUAGAACACCAAUUGCGAAGGCAGCUUACUACAUAUAAAUUGACGCUGAGGCACGAAAGCGUGGGGAUCAAACA
This 421-nucleotide ribosomal RNA is filed under the name uncultured bacterium. Its description in RNAcentral is "bacterial SSU rRNA". It matches the Rfam family "Bacterial small subunit ribosomal RNA", at positions 355 to 774 of the family's 1533-position model. The record is from RNAcentral.